CAACAGCCAAAUGAACAACUUCACCUGAGCCCUUACCUCCAAGGAAGUGCCACAGGGGAACCCAAAGGCCCUUAAUCAUUAAAAAAAACUUUAGAGAUGCUGGCUGAGCCAUCAGUGAGAACAUGGAUGCAUACACAGAACCUACAUCUUGUCAUCUCUGCUCUUCGAGGAAUGGAGCUGGAGAGGCAGAGAAGCAAUGAAGCCGAAUUCUGAGUAGUAUACUCUGAUGAAGAGGAUAUUUUACAAGCAUAGAAAAAGGAGGGCUCCAGUCUUCAAAGAACCAGAGCAUGGGUACCAAAGCCUCCCAGAGCUAGUUCUGGUCCCAGCUCAGCCACUUGUCUGUUUGGGUGACUAUAGAACUCCAGAUCCAGGUGGGCUCUUUCCAUGGAGCCUGAGACUUAUGAUGCCAGGUGCCUGGACAAAGCUUCCAGGUGAUGGUGGCAGUGUCCCAGAGAAGGGAAAGCAUGGCAUUCUGGGAGCACAGGGCCAGGAGCACCCGGGUUUGAAUGUCAGCUCCCCGUUUUCCAGCCCUUGGACGUGUUACCUGUCUGGACAUCAGCCUCAGAAUAAUAAUAGCCCUGAGCUUCAGGUUAAGGAAAUCCUCUUAUGAGAUAGAGCUCAGCUCCUCCUGUAGAAGCUGAAAUUCCAGACACUGGACUUCCCAGUCUCCCUUGCCACUAGAUAUGGACACGUGAUCAAGAUUCCACCAAUCAGAUGGUCUUUGAAUCUGCUAGUGACAAAAAGAAAGGAACAUGCCAAAUCCAU
Homo sapiens (human) is the source of this 765-nucleotide long non-coding RNA. Ensembl annotates it as chromosome 5 putative open reading frame 67. Its record names the gene C5orf67. The record is from Ensembl. NCBI's taxonomy places the organism in Eukaryota, Metazoa, Chordata, Mammalia, Primates, Hominidae.